RNAcentral lists this ribosomal RNA (363 nucleotides) under Triticum aestivum (bread wheat). RNAcentral describes it as "partial small subunit ribosomal RNA". The record is from RNAcentral. Lineage: Eukaryota; Viridiplantae; Streptophyta; Magnoliopsida; Poales; Poaceae.
AUGAAUCGCCCUCGCCUUUCCGUGGGAUCAUGGUCAAUUCCUGUCACUGAGACUGCUGGUUCGCAGCUAUGCCUUCUUUGCCGACCAGAGCUGCUUGUGGCAGAUGAGGAGCUUCUCCUUCUCAUUCUCCUUGUUCUCGGUGUCGUGCCUGUCGCAGGUCCAUCUCAUCCCCUUGGCGAUGGAGGCCACGGAGUCGAGGAAGUAGGGGUUGUCCCGGAUGAUGGCGUAGCCGGUCGGACGAAGGAUGCGGUCCAUCUCAACAAGCACAAAUUUCAUCUCGCAUCUGCAAUGCCAUGGACAAUCGGCCGUCGGCGUGCAGCAGAUCGUACGUCCGUGGGUACGUGGAGAAGGCCUCGCACCUAA